Molecule: ribosomal RNA, 473 nt
Filed under: uncultured bacterium
Lineage: Bacteria
Description: bacterial SSU rRNA
Rfam family: Bacterial small subunit ribosomal RNA
Source: RNAcentral
ACUCCUACGGGAGGCAGCAGUGGGGAAUAUUGCACAAUGGGCGCAAGCCUGAUGCAGCCAUGCCGCGUGUGUGAAGAAGGCCUUCGGGUUGUAAAGCACUUUCAGUCGUGAGGAAGGUGGUAGUGUUAAUAGCACUGUCAUUUGUACGUUAGCGACAGAAGAAGCACCGGCUAACUCCGUGCCAGCAGCCGCGGUAAGUACGGAGGGUGCGAGCGUUAAUCGGAAUUACGUGGGCGUAAAGCGCAUGCAGGUGGUUGUUAAGUCAGAUGUGAAAGCCCGGGGCUCAACCUCGGAAUUGCAUUUGAAACUGGCAGACUAGAGUACUGUAGAGGGGGUAGAAUUUCAGGUGUAGCGGUGAAAUGCGUAGAGAUCUGAAGGAAUACCGGUGGCGAAGGCGGCCCCUGGACAGAUACUGACACUCAGAUGCGAAAGCGUGGGAGCAAACAGGAUUAGAUACCCCUGGUAGCGACUGA